CCUACGGGAGGCAGCAGUGGGGAAUAUUGCACAAUGGGGGAAACCCUGAUGCAGCGACGCCGCGUGAGUGAAGAAGUAUCUCGGUACGUAAAGCUCUAUCAGCAGGGAAGAAAAUGACGGUACCUGACUAAGAAGCCCCGGCUAACUACGGGCCAGCAGCCGCGGUAAUACGUAGGGGGCAAGCGUUAUCCGGAUUUACGGGGGGUAAAGGGAGUGUAGACGGGAGCACAAGUCUGGAGUGAAAUCCCGGGGCUUAACCCCGGAACUGCUUUGGAAACUGUGCGGCUGGAGUGCAGGAGGGGUAAGCGGAAUUCCUAGUGUAGCGGUGAAAUGCGUAGAUAUUAGGAGGAACACCGGUGGCGAAGGCGGCUUACUGGACUGUAACUGACGUUGAGGCUCGAAAGCGUGGGGAGCAAACAGGAUUAGAUACCCCUGUAGUC
This 440-nucleotide ribosomal RNA is filed under the name uncultured bacterium. RNAcentral describes it as "partial 16S ribosomal RNA". It matches the Rfam family "Bacterial small subunit ribosomal RNA", at positions 338 to 795 of the family's 1533-position model. The record is from RNAcentral.